AUAUUUACCUGGCAGGGGAGAUACCAUGAUCACGAAGGUGGUUUCCCCAGGGCGAGGCUUAUCCAUUGCGCUACGGAUGUGCUGACCCCUGCGAUUUCCCCAAAUGUGGGAAACUUGACUGCAUAAUUUGUGGUAGUGGGGGACUGCAUUGGCGCUCUCCCCUG
This is a small nuclear RNA of Echinops telfairi (small Madagascar hedgehog), 164 nucleotides long. Its record names the gene U1. It matches the Rfam family "U1 spliceosomal RNA". Rfam says of the family: U1 is a small nuclear RNA (snRNA) component of the spliceosome (involved in pre-mRNA splicing). Lineage: Eukaryota; Metazoa; Chordata; Mammalia; Afrosoricida; Tenrecidae. The record is from Ensembl.